Molecule: non-coding RNA, 73 nt
Organism: Stegodyphus mimosarum
Lineage: Eukaryota; Metazoa; Arthropoda; Arachnida; Araneae; Eresidae
Source: Rfam
GCCUUCGUGGUGUAGCGGUCAGCACGCUCGGCGCAUAUUCCAGAGGUCCGUGGUUCGAAUCUCGGUGAGGGCA